CACCGGCUUCUGAGAGCAAGCCUCAAAACUCGUGGUGAGGACUGGACAAGGUGGUCUGCCCUCAAAUACAUGCCUUUAGAUGAGUGUGGUGUUUCUCUUUCUCCCAAAGCAAAUCAACUGGGAGGGAACAUUUUCAUGAGUUAGUGUGGUUAUGGUAUCUAUGAUAUAGUCCAUUUCUCCACAGCUUGGCCUCAGCCAACAGAGUUUCUGGGACAUUGUGAUACCCACACAUCUUCUCCUAGCAAGGACCGUGCUGAAGAUAGCCCUGGUGAGUCAUCAUUUCUUGGAGAAACAAGCCAAGAUACACCUUAGAACCAGCAUCACAUCCCAUGAAAUUGUGGCAGCAAAAACACCCAGCCUCUCUGGAUGCCUUUUUCCAGUGGUGAACUUUAGAGUUAAUCCUUUAGGGGCUGCUUGUCUGGCCUUUUCACCCCUAGAGUCCCCAUCCUGGCCUAGGAGAGUCACUUCCAGUGGGUCUCUCCACUGAGUGGGGGAUCUUUGAGGAAUACCAGCUUUCUCCAGUGCCCUCUGGACUCUCCAUGCCAGAGAUAAAGUUCUGACACCUGGACAAGGCUCAAAAGCACCAGAUUGUUUAUUUGACGUGUACAAUGCAAGCAGAAGCCAUCUCAUUAAAAACAGCAGUUACAACAAAAGAAGCAGUUGUGCUGAUCGCCACCACAUGCCACAGGGCUAAGGGCUGCCCGAGGAGUAACUCUAAACCUUCAUCUCAGCCUCAUCCAUGAGGCCGUCUGAACAGCCAGGAGAGCCAGUCCUGCUCUCUGGAUGCCCUACAGGGGGGCCAUCUGACCCUGGAGCUGUAUAGGCAAGUACUGAGCCCCAAGCUUAGCCCUUCCUGGAACUGUUGAAGUUCAUCCCAAAAAGCCACCAGGUGGAAGAGGAAAGAGUAGAACCUUGGGAAUUUAACAAAAGCAAGUUCAAAUCUCAAGUCUACUGUUUCCCAGAAGUGUGGCCCAGAACAAGUCAUUAAACUUCUCAGCACCUUGGCUUCCUCAUCUGUAAAAUACAGAAAAUAAUGCAGGAGCUGCUUCUAGGGAUGUUUCUGAAGGUUGGAUAUACUGUCACACUUGUCUGCCAUGUUUAUUUCCAUCCUAGGAGAAGGCAUGUGGUGGGAGGGGAGGGGUUUGAAGGCUGAGUAUGUGAACAUAAGGAGAUCCAGGAGAGAGGGCAUUGCAUCAGCAGCCCUUUCUGCACCAGAGCAUUCAGUUCUGCACCAGUGCUGGGAUGCAGGUAAGGACAGGAGCCCUGCCUCGCCAAUGGUCAGUCAAUGACCCUCCUGCUCAAUAUCCGGAGGGGACAACAGAUAAGUGUGGGGAGAUGUGAGGCAACAUGAGAGAGUGUAAAUGCAGACAAUCCAUCAUGGUGCUUCUGGGCUUCAUUAAAGUGACUCCAACCCAUCAAGUACAUUCCUGUCACAAGGCUGAGGCCAGAGCUAUCCUUAGAACCACAAAUUUGAAACCAAUCCAUUUAUUUCAACAUCUUGGUCAAAAUUAAUCACCAAAAUAAAUCUGUGUACAUAUCAAGGUUAUUAAAAUUGCCUAUAGUUUUACACCCAGGAAAUUUUACUCCGUAGCAUUUUCUAGAGGAAAUAAUCAGGGACCCACUCCAAGAUGUAUGUAUAAAACUGAUUUUCAACCCAGCAUCAUAUAUAAAAUGAACCAAUAUCUGGAAACACCAUAAAAGCCUGAAGUUAGGAGGCUGAUUUGUAAAAUCUUCCUAUAUACCUCCAUAUGGAGGAAUACUACACAGUUAUCAAAAAUGUAGAGUGCUGGUAUAUCAAGUCACAUGACAAAGCACAUUGCAAGUCAGCAAAUGGCCCAAAAUUUGUAAAAAUUUGCUAUAUUGGCAGACAUAUUCAGAUCAUACUUGAUGAAUAACUACAGAUCAUCAGUGGUUUCCCUCAGGCCAGAACUUAAUGGCAAAAAUGCAGGGGUGAGGGGAGAGGCUGUGGGUUAAAUCCUGACUCCUUCACUUCUCAGAGCAACACUGGAGAAGUCACUUCGCUUCUCUGUGCCUCUGUUUCCUCGUAUUAAGCAAGAGGUUGCUCGUGUCCCUUCUUCCUGGAGGUUUGACUCACGUACAAAUAGAGUCAUGGUUCUUGACAGCACAAGGCAUCCAGCAGGCACUCGUAAAUGUCAUCUUUUGUUACGAGUUAUUAUUUGAACGAUUCCCUAUUUAAUCUUUCUAUUUUGUACAUGGAACUGUCUGACUCAUAUAAUCAUGGGAACGAAAUAUUUUUUAAUCCAUUUCAGUCAACGAGAUGAACUCAAUGAAGAGAUGAGUGAGAACUAUUUUGCAAUAAUUGACACAACAUCUGCUAUUUCUAGAACAAAAUCAAAUAAAAUACA
Long non-coding RNA from Talpa occidentalis (Iberian mole), 2366 nucleotides. RefSeq lists it as uncharacterized. The record is from RefSeq and is a predicted model, not a curated record. The transcript has 3 exons. Lineage: Eukaryota; Metazoa; Chordata; Mammalia; Eulipotyphla; Talpidae.